This 445-nucleotide ribosomal RNA is filed under the name uncultured bacterium. Its description in RNAcentral is "bacterial SSU rRNA". It matches the Rfam family "Bacterial small subunit ribosomal RNA", at positions 354 to 796 of the family's 1533-position model. The record is from RNAcentral.
GUGAGGAAUAUUGCGCAAUGGAGGCAACUCUGACGCAGCCAUGCCGCGUGCAGGAAGAAGGCGCUACGCGUUGUAAACUGCUUUUAACCGGGAAGAAACCCCAGGACGUGUCCUGGGUUGACGGUACCGGAGGAAUAAGCACCGGCUAACUUCGUGCCAGCAGCCGCGGUAAUACGAAGGGUGCAAGCGUUAUCCGGAUUCAUUGGGUUUAAAUGGUGCGUAGGCGGAGCGUUAAGUCAGUGGUGAAAUCCUGCAGCUUAACUGUAGACUUGCCAUUGAUACUGGCGCUCUUGAGUGCGCUUGAAGUGGGCGGAAUGUGCCGUGUAGCGGUGAAAUGCUUAGAUAUGGCACAGAACACCAAUUGCGAAGGCAGCUCACUAAGGCGAUACUGACGCUGAGGCACGAAAGCGUGGGGAUCGAACAGGAUUAGAAACCCGAGUAGUCC